This 574-nucleotide ribosomal RNA is filed under the name Bos taurus (domestic cattle). Its description in RNAcentral is "similar to 16S ribosomal RNA". The stretch from base 1 to 422 matches the Rfam family "Bacterial large subunit ribosomal RNA", at positions 695 to 1298 of the family's 2925-position model. The record is from RNAcentral. Lineage: Eukaryota; Metazoa; Chordata; Mammalia; Artiodactyla; Bovidae.
UGAAUUUUAGUUAAGNCAGCCCGAAACCAGACGAGCUACUCACAAACAGUUUACCAAGAACUAACUCAUGCUAUGUGGCAAAAAUAGUGAGAAGAUUUGUAAGUAGAGGUGACAUGCCUAACGAGCCUGGUGAUAGCUGGUUGUCCAGAAAANGAAUCUAAGUUCAGCUUUAAAGAUACCAAAAUUCAAAUAAACCCCACUGUAGCUUUAAAAGUUAGUCUAAAAAGGUACAGCCUUUUAGAAACGGGAUACAACCUGGACUAGAGAGUAAAAUGUUAACACUACCAUAGUAGGCCUAAAAGCAGCCAUCAAUUAAGAAAGCGUUAAAGCUCAACAACAAAUUAAAUAGAUUCCAACAACAAAUGAUUAACUCCUAGCCCCAAUACUGGACUAAUCUAUUAUAGAAUAGAAGCAAUAAUGUUAAUAUGAGUAACAAGAAAAAUUUUCUCCUUGCAUAAGUCUAAGUCAGUGCCUGAUAAUACUCUGACCACUAACAGUCAAUAAAAAUAAUCCAACAAUAAACAAUUUAUUGAUUAUACUGUUAACCCAACACAUGGAGUGCAUAUAAGGAAAG